UACGGGGGGGGCGAGCGUUGUUCGGAAUUACUGGGCGUAAAGAGCUCGUAGGUGGUUUGUCGCGUUGUCCGUGAAAACUCACAGCUUAACUGUGGGCGUGCGGGCGAUACGGGCAGACUGGAGUACUGCAGGGGAGACUGGAAUUCCUGGUGUAGCGGUGGAAUGCGCAGAUAUCAGGAGGAACACCGGUGGCGAAGGCGGGUCUCUGGGCAGUAACUGACGCUGAGGAGCGAAAGCGUGGGGAGCGAACAGG
RNAcentral lists this ribosomal RNA (253 nucleotides) under uncultured bacterium. RNAcentral's name for it is "partial 16S ribosomal RNA". It matches the Rfam family "Bacterial small subunit ribosomal RNA", at positions 524 to 776 of the family's 1533-position model. The record is from RNAcentral.